Molecule: long non-coding RNA, 1129 nt
Filed under: Homo sapiens (human)
Lineage: Eukaryota; Metazoa; Chordata; Mammalia; Primates; Hominidae
Description: HSALNT0324017
Source: RNAcentral
UGAGAUUUUUUUUAAACCUGAUGUCACAUCCAGGACAAACAAGAGAAGUCCUUUUAACCAAAUAGGACUCCUAUAUAACAAGAGUCUUUGAGAAGAGAGUCGUAUGACCUAAGAUGUCCCCUCCAACUACUUUGAUAUAAUGGCACAUGGAAGUGUGUCAUAAAGUGGGAGAAAAAGUGCAAGAAUUCCUCAAGACCCAUAUGUAAGGUUUUCUAUAAUUCACUUUGUAUGCUACAAUUGUUUGCCCUGCAUAGUGCCAGGAAGAUAUAAAAAUGUGAAAUGAACAAAUAUUGUUUAAGAGUUUAAAGAUACUUUGGAUGUCAUGACUCCAAUAAUAUUACCUUACAGAUCAACACCUGUGUUAGUCCAUUCUCAUGCUGCUAUGAAGAAAUACCUGAGACUGGGUCCAACACCAUAUGGAAGCUGCCAAGGCUUGAAGCAAUGGCCUAAGCUGGAUCUCGACCCCUUUUAGCCACAGCUGAAACUGGAAUGGCUGGGAUGCAGGACACCAAGUCCCAAGGCUGCACAGAGCAACAGGUCCCUGGGCCAGGCCCAGCAUUAGGCCUAUCAAGUGUCAUGCACAGCUCAAGAGGAAAUGCUAUCUGGAAAUCCCCCAACUCCCAUGGAAAUUCCCAGCUGGCUCCCUGUACACUGCAGAUACCUGAAGUGGUUUUGAAGACUGGGCAGCUAAGACCUAAGUGAAGAAGAAUUCCUCCCCUGCAAGGAUGACCAAGAACCCAGCCGCUCUGUUUCCUUCCCGACUGGAGUCCUCUUCUCCACUGGGACCAGCUGUAUCCACCUGACCUCCAAGAGCACUCUCCAUGCCACGCACAGGGCACUGAGUGAACACCCACCUCAUUUCUCCCAGCAUGGAAAGUCAUUCCAGGAAUUCUGUGGGCAGUGGAGAGGCCCUUCCCCUUCCAGCAUGGGAAAGCCAGGCUGGUUGGGAAGCAGCUCAACUCAAGCUGCUGCUGAUACAGGUGCCCUCUCCUAGCCCCUCCCUUGUCCCCACCUGCAUUUCACCUCAAUUUCUAUCUGCAUAUGUGUCAAGUUCUCCCAAAUCCAGCAGCCACCAUGCCUGGCCUCACCAAGGGCUUGCCUCAUCUGAGCUAUUUCAGUAUAAAUAUUG